CUCCCCCAGCCUCGCUGCCUCCUUGCAGUUUGAUCUCAGACUGCCCUGCUAGCAAUCAGCGAGACUCCGUGGGUGUAGGACCCUCCAAGCCAGGUGCCGGAGAUAAUCUCGUGGUGCGCCGUUUUUUAAGCCCGUUGGAGAAGCGCAGUAUUCGGGUGGGAGUGACCCGAUUUUCCAGGUGCUGUCUGUCACCCCUUUCUUUGACUUGGAAAGGGAACUCCCUGACCCCUUGCGCUUCCCAAGUGAGGCAAUGCCUCGCCCUGCUUCGGCUCGCGCACAGUGCGCGCACCCACUGACCUGAGCCCACUCUCUGGCACUCCCUAGUGAGAUGAACCUGGUACCUCAGAUGGAAAUGCAGAAAUCACCUGUCUUCUGCCUCGCUCACACUGGGAGCUGUAGACCGGAGCUGUUCCUGUUCGGCCAUCUUGGCUCCUCCCGGAAGGUACAUUUUUAAAGCCCCUUUUCUGCACUACUCCUGGGGAAUGAAGCCUCUGAAAGUGCUUAUGCAUCCACAUAAAAUGGUGAAACAGAAAAGUGGCUUAGUCAGUGCUCUUCCUUCAGGUCCUCAGCUUGUAUCAUCCAUGAAGACGUGGCCAGUGUUCCACUACUGGAAGCCCUUUCUCAGCCCUGGAUGACUGAAAAUCCCUCCCAAGCCAAAGGAGCCCCGACUGUAGCAGAUCAAAAGAGAGAAGAGAGAACAUAGUACCAAGAAGACAUACACCUCAUGGUGGACGGUAUGUUCAGCCUCCCAGACUGCACUUCAGUACAGAAAGACUUCCUCCAAAUACUGUCAACCUCUCUUGGCUGAAGACAGCUGCCUUGACGAGGGUUUUGCUUCUUCCCAGUGCCAGCCUGCAUCCAACGAGUAGUUGAUGGGGACAGGGUAUAUCGCCCCUGCUCAAAAGGGCCAUUCAAUGUCAGAGUUCCCCAAAGUUGAUUACAAACUGAACUUCUCCUCUAGCUAAUCUGGUUUUCUUCCAUUUCUGUACAGGUAUUGAUCCCAAGUAGUUCUAAUGCCUUCCUGCACCUGCUCCCUUUCCCAGAGACUGCUUUCUAGGUAAUCCAGUUUACAAUAGAUUUCUUCAUUCUUUUCACUGGUGAUCUUAAAAUCUUGAUAUAGGAAACAGCUUCAUCCCACUGGUCCCAUUGUGUUCAUGACUGUUUCACCAGAGGAAGGGUGCUAGGCUAGGUAGGUAAUACUCACAAUGUAGACUGUUGAAAAAAAUGAAAUGGUAGUGAAAAAACAGAGACACAAAAGGCUUUAAAAUCAUGUAGACAAAGGGUACUUCCUACUGGUGCUAUGUGGUCUUGAGCAAAGUACUAAGCCUCUCUGGGCCUAUCUUACAUACUUCAUAAGGUUGUUGUGAUAAUUAUACAAGAUCAUGCAAAAUGAGAGCCUAGGGCAGUAAAAGGCAAAAUUAUUGGUAAUUUCUACUAGUAACCAUUGUUUGUGUGAUUCAUCUUUUACAUUAAAUGUAGCCAGAAUAAGACGAUGUACUUAAAGUGUGUACUAUUUUUCUAAUUAUCUGCUGGAAUGUGAUGUCAGUUUAAUGAGUUUUAAUUAAACUGCAGUGGAAUUACAGGAGGGUCAGAGAAUUGAAUUCUAA
Molecule: long non-coding RNA, 1607 nt
Filed under: Homo sapiens (human)
Lineage: Eukaryota; Metazoa; Chordata; Mammalia; Primates; Hominidae
Description: HSALNT0007800
Source: RNAcentral